ACGGGUGAGUAACGCGUGGGAAUCUACCCAUCUCUACGGAACAACUCCGGGAAACUGGAGCUAAUACCGUAUACGUCCUUCGGGAGAAAGAUUUAUCGGAGAUGGAUGAGCCCGCGUUGGAUUAGCUAGUUGGUGGGGUAAUGGCCUACCAAGGCGACGAUCCAUAGCUGGUCUGAGAGGAUGAUCAGCCACACUGGGACUGAGACACGGCCCAGACUCCUACGGGAGGCAGCAGUGGGGAAUAUUGGACAAUGGGCGCAAGCCUGAUCCAGCCAUGCCGCGUGAGUGAUGAAGGCCCUAGGGUUGUAAAGCUCUUUCAACGGUGAAGAUAAUGACGGUAACCGUAGAAGAAGCCCCGGCUAACUUCGUGCCAGCAGCCGCGGUAAUACGAAGGGGGCUAGCGUUGUUCGGAAUUACUGGGCGUAAAGCGCACGUAGGCGGAUACUUAAGUCAGGGGUGAAAUCCCGGGGCUCAACCCCGGAACUGCCUUUGAUACUGGGUAUCUUGAGUCCGGAAGAGGUGAGUGGAAUUCCGAGUGUAGAGGUGAAAUUCGUAGA
This 557-nucleotide ribosomal RNA is filed under the name Mesorhizobium sp. BvORHM080. Its description in RNAcentral is "bacterial SSU rRNA". It matches the Rfam family "Bacterial small subunit ribosomal RNA", at positions 102 to 694 of the family's 1533-position model. Lineage: Bacteria; Pseudomonadati; Pseudomonadota; Alphaproteobacteria; Hyphomicrobiales; Phyllobacteriaceae. The record is from RNAcentral.